GCGCUCGUAGCUCAACUGGACAGAGUGUUAGGUUACACCUAAAGGUUGCGGGUUCGACUCCUGCUAAGGCG
RNAcentral lists this transfer RNA (71 nucleotides) under Mycoplasmopsis felis. RNAcentral describes it as "tRNA-Val". It matches the Rfam family "tRNA". Rfam says of the family: Transfer RNA (tRNA) molecules are approximately 80 nucleotides in length. Their secondary structure includes four short double-helical elements and three loops (D, anti-codon, and T loops). Further hydrogen bonds mediate the characteristic L-shaped molecular structure. tRNAs have two regions of fundamental functional importance: the anti-codon, which is responsible for specific mRNA codon recognition, and the 3' end, to which the tRNAs corresponding amino acid is attached (by aminoacyl-tRNA synthetases). tRNAs cope with the degeneracy of the genetic code in two manners: having more than one tRNA (with a specific anti-codon) for a particular amino acid; and 'wobble' base-pairing, i.e. permitting non-standard base-pairing at the 3rd anti-codon position. The record is from RNAcentral. Lineage: Bacteria; Bacillati; Mycoplasmatota; Mycoplasmoidales; Metamycoplasmataceae.